CAGUCGCCGCGGUAAUACGAAGGGUGCAAGCGUUACUCGGAAUUACUGGGCGUAAAGCGUGCGUAGGUUGUGGUUUAAGUCCGUUGUGAAAGCCCUGGGCUCAACCUGGGAAUUGCAGUGGAUACUGGGUCACUAGAGUGUGGUAGAGGAUAGUGGAAUUUCCGGUGUAGCAGUGAAAUGCGUAGAGAUCGGAAGGAACAUCUGUGGCGAAGGCGACUAUCUGGGCCAACACUGACACUGAGGCACGAAAGCGUGGGGAGCAAACAGGAUUAGAUACCCGGGUAGUCCCUGUCUCUUAUAC
Molecule: ribosomal RNA, 301 nt
Filed under: uncultured bacterium
Lineage: Bacteria
Description: partial 16S ribosomal RNA
Rfam family: Bacterial small subunit ribosomal RNA
Source: RNAcentral